GAUGAACGCUGGCGGCGUGCCUAACACAUGCAAGUCGAACGAAGCACUGUCGAAUGAGGAUUCGUCUGAAUUUGGCUUUGACUUAGUGGCGGACGGGUGAGUAAUGCGUGAGCAACCUGCCUUUCAGAGGGGGACAACAGUUGGAAACGACUGCUAAUACCGCAUGAUGUGCCGAGGGGGCAUCCCUUUGGCACCAAAGAUUUAUCGCUGUGGGAUGGGCUCAUGUCUGAUUAGUUAGUUGGUGGGGUAACGGCCUACCAAGACUGCGAUCAGUAGCCGGACUGAGAGGUUGAACGGCCACAUUGGGACUGAGAUACGGCCCAGACUCCUACGGGAGGCAGCAGUGGGGAAUAUUGGGCAAUGGGGGCAACCCUGACCCAGCGACGCCGCGUGAGGGAAGAAGGGUCUUCGGAUUGUAAACCUUUGUUAACGGGGACGAAAAAAUAGACGGUACCGAAUAGAAAGCCACGGCUAACUACGUGCCAGCAGCCGCGGU
This 496-nucleotide ribosomal RNA is filed under the name uncultured bacterium. RNAcentral describes it as "bacterial SSU rRNA". It matches the Rfam family "Bacterial small subunit ribosomal RNA", at positions 28 to 521 of the family's 1533-position model. The record is from RNAcentral.